UAAAUUGAAAAGGAGUACGACAUAUCACCCACAAACUAACAGCCAGCCGGAAGUUUUAAACAGGUGCUUGGAGACAGCCCAAAGCCACCCACCAAAUAUGACUACCCAAAGAGAACUCCAGACCCAGCUAAGUGCCAUUAUUGAUCGACGGAUCGUGACUCGACGACGACGACCCACUAAUGAAGUGCUAAUACAGUGGGCGAACCUACCAAUAGAAGAUGUCACUUGGGAGAACUAUGACGACUUGAAGAUCAAAUUCCCAGAAUUCACGAAUCAUCAGCCUCGAGGACAAGGCUGAUUUGAAGAGGGCGGGUCUGUUAGGACUCUAGCUUGGAGAGUCCUAAUUGAGAGGGACAUUCAUGUAAAAAUGUUAGGACUCUAGCUAGGAGAGUCCUAAUUGAG
Molecule: long non-coding RNA, 402 nt
Filed under: Musa acuminata (dwarf banana)
Lineage: Eukaryota; Viridiplantae; Streptophyta; Magnoliopsida; Zingiberales; Musaceae
Description: long non-coding RNA (MACU_LNC010397)
Source: RNAcentral